GGAGGAUCACCUGAACCCAAGGAGAUCAAGGCUGAAGUGAGCUGUGAUUGUGUCACUGCAUUCCAGCCUGGGAGAUAGUGAGACUCUGUCUCAAAAGAAAAAGGGCAGGAUGGGGGAGGGGACAAAAAGCAUUCUUAGUUUAAGAAUAGGUUUUGCUUUAAAAAUCAUAGUACACUCAUAAAUUCUUGCUGAAAUCAAUAAUUACACAAGAGAAUAACAAUACUAAUAGCCUGUCGUAAAUUGACCCCAAGUCUUUUUAAUAAAGCACACUUUUUUUUAAUUAUACUUUAAGUUCUGGGAUACACAUACAGAAUGUGGUUUGUUACGUAGGUAUACAUGUGUCAUGGUGGUUUGCUGCACCCAUCAACCCAGCAUCUAUAUUAGGUAUUUCUCCUAAUGCUGUCCCUCCUCCUGCCCCCUGACAGGCCCCAGUGUGUGAUGUUCCCCUCCCUUUGUCCAUGUGUUCUCAUUGUUCAACUCCCACUUAUGAGUGAGAACAUGUGGUGUUUGGUUUUCUGUUCCUGUGUUAGUUUGCUGAGAAUGAUGGUUUCCAGCUUCAUCCACGUCCCCGCAAAGGACAUGAACUCAUUCUUUUUUAUGGCCACAUAGUAUUCCAUGGUGUAUAUGUGCCACAUUUUUUUUAUCCAGUCUAUCAUUGAUGGGCAUUUGAGUUGGUUCCAAGUCUUUGCUAUUGUAAAUAGUGCUGCAAUAAACAUACGAUAAAGCACAUUAUUCUUAGCCCUUAUGUAAUCAAAAAUCAGGUUCAGUCACAUGCCACUUACAGAGUCCAGUUAACAAGAGCAAGAUCUGGUAUAAAGAAAGUGACUUUUGGCUGGGCACGGUGGCUCAUGCCUGUAAUCCCAGCACUUUGGAGGCCGAGGUGGGCAGAUCAUCUGAGGUCAGGAGUUC
RNAcentral lists this long non-coding RNA (909 nucleotides) under Homo sapiens (human). RNAcentral's name for it is "HSALNT0364866". The record is from RNAcentral. Lineage: Eukaryota; Metazoa; Chordata; Mammalia; Primates; Hominidae.